RNAcentral lists this long non-coding RNA (311 nucleotides) under Zonotrichia albicollis (white-throated sparrow). RNAcentral describes it as "lncRNA (ENSZALG00000013834.1)". Lineage: Eukaryota; Metazoa; Chordata; Aves; Passeriformes; Passerellidae. The record is from RNAcentral.
AUCCCGGGGCGGGGUGGGGACCCGCGGCAUCGGCAUCCCGGGGAGCGGCAGGCACCAGCAUCCCGGGGACCCGCGGCGCUGGCAUCCCGGGGCGCGGCGAGGACCCUAAGAUCGGAUCUCCUCAGUGGUCUGCAGCCACCAGCCCUGCACACCUGGGACAUGCACGGCCCCAAGCCCCGGGUGACAGGGCAUUUAGGGUAGGCUACAGGCAAAGGAUAAGAGGUUCCUCCUCCUCCUCUACGCAUUUCUAAUGGCUCCUUUGAGACAAGCCACACGACUCCCUGCUGGGAAGCCUCGCUGAGCUGUGGAAU